Molecule: long non-coding RNA, 948 nt
Filed under: Daphnia pulicaria
Lineage: Eukaryota; Metazoa; Arthropoda; Branchiopoda; Diplostraca; Daphniidae
Description: uncharacterized LOC124329238, transcript variant X4
Source: RNAcentral
UGGGUAACUAACUCUGUCGUUGAAGAAAGUGUGAAUGGUUACGUCGCGUCCUUGUCGUACCUGGUACCACCCCGUCAUAGUUUGUGAUACUCCUUAUGCGGCAGCCUCUAUCGUGCGCAUCGACGAACCGUGAACACGUAUAGGUAGAUAUUGGUUGAGGCCACAACUUGAACCUUUUUAACCGCAUCGUUUGUCUGACUUCCCUAUAACGUGAUGGUCAUGCUAUAGUGUUCUCCUUUCCCUUGCAUACUAUGGAUGACUACUAUGCAUACGAUUGCGUUAUCUCGGGUGAAUAUAAAGAGCGAAAGUUUUUGAGCAAAAAUCAGUUCGUCUUCGGCGCAACAACCAGCAACAACAAGAUCAUUCGAUCUUUUACCCACUCGCACUAAAAUUCAAGCUGAUAAAAUGAUCAUGAAGGUGGCAUUGGCUUUCCUACUGUGUUUGGUUUCUUUGACGAUUGUCAAAGGUGCUCCUUCACCAACUGACCAGGAAGUUCUUGACGCUGCUGUUAUAGAAAAUCAACCUGGUGAGGUAGCGGUAGUUGCGCCGAUUGAAUCUGCUGAAUACGCUCAGCAGCCCUUUGAAGAAAAUGAGUCCUUGGAACCUUCAGCCACUCACCAUAAACGUUACUACUACCCUCAUUACUACCCUCAUUAUUACCCUCAUUAUUACCCUAGAUAUCACUACCCCGGAUACUAUUACUAGAGGACUCUUUACUGGCCGAUCAGUAUUGCUUCAGCAGUAAAACAUCAACUAAUUCUACGACACCAUUUCUUCCAUCAGUCGAUUAUAUACAAUCAAUCAGCAAUACUCGCCAUGUAGUCCUUCUCCACCACUGACGACGAAACAAACGUGUUAAACUCUAAAUCCUUUCCCCUUUUUUACUCUUUGUAGUCGCAAUAUUGUAAUGCGCGACUUUUGGAAAAAUAAAAUCUUUUCAAGCAUUGA